UUUUUCUGUUUGGUCCUUCGAUCACUUGACACUAUUGGUAAGCUCAUUAUCUAUUCCACCUUAGAUGUUCAUAAUUCAACUCUAACUGCUCUUGUAUAUCAUCAUAGAUUUACCUUCGUAAACUCUGUUUUAUUUCUAAUGCAUGCUUUUUCAUGACUUUCAGUGAAUAGCAAAAUGAAGCAUAGAUUACCAGUUGCAGCUCCUAAACUCAAGAUUUUAUCCAAUCUCGCCAACAUAAAUAUGAACAAUUUGACUGUUUUGGACUUUCUAGCAAGCUUAAGAAUGUACCUGUACAAGUACAACUUUGUUCUGCAUAUACAUCUAUAUGUAUGAUGUACUUUAUGUUAAUAUUAAACACAUUACGCCAAUAUUUAGCUUUGUGGUA
Molecule: long non-coding RNA, 385 nt
Filed under: Nicotiana benthamiana
Lineage: Eukaryota; Viridiplantae; Streptophyta; Magnoliopsida; Solanales; Solanaceae
Description: long non-coding RNA (NBEN_LNC021301)
Source: RNAcentral